CGUCGCCACGGUAAUACAGAGGGUGCGAGCGUUAAUCGGAUUUACUGGGCGUAAAGCGUGCGUAGGCGGCUUCUUAAGUCGGAUGUGAAAUCCCUGAGCUUAACUUAGGAAUUGCAUUCGAUACUGGGAAGCUAGAGUAUGGGAGAGGAUGGUAGAAUUCCAGGUGUAGCGGUGAAAUGCGUAGAGAUCUGGAGGAAUACCGAUGGCGAAGGCAGCCAUCUGGCCUAAUACUGACGCUGAGGUACGAAAGCAUGGGGAGCAAACAGGAUUAGAUACCCGCGUAGUCCCUGUCUCUUAUACA
Molecule: ribosomal RNA, 301 nt
Filed under: uncultured bacterium
Lineage: Bacteria
Description: partial 16S ribosomal RNA
Rfam family: Bacterial small subunit ribosomal RNA
Source: RNAcentral